UUUAACGGCCGCGGUAUACUGACCGUGCAAAGGUAGCGUAAUCACUUGUCUUUUAAAUGAAGUCUAGUAUGAACGGCAUCACGAGAACUAAUCUGUCUCCCUCCCCCAAUCAGUGAAACUGAUCCCCCCGUGCAGAAGCGGGGAUGACCCCAUAAGACGAGAAGACCCUGUGGAGCUUCAAAUCAAAAAUCAACUGCUUUCCCCACCCGCACAAAGGAAAUAUUCACACAGACCUGAUUUAGAUUUUCAGCUGGGGCGUCUGUGGAGAAAAGAAAAUCCUCCAUGAAAAUCUAUGCUAAAAGCUACUGCUAUAGGCAUUAAUAAACUUAACUUUAAUUGACCCAUUUUUUGAUCAACGGACCAAGUUACCCCAGGGAUAACAGCGCAAUCCACUUUUAGAGUCCCUAUCGACAAGUGGGCUUACGACCUCGAUGUUGGAUCAGGGCAUCCAAGUGGUGCAGCCGCUACUAAAGGUUCGUUUGUUCAACGAUUAAAG
This 496-nucleotide ribosomal RNA is filed under the name Leptolalax sp. 9 JMC-2018. RNAcentral's name for it is "partial 16S ribosomal RNA". It matches the Rfam family "Bacterial large subunit ribosomal RNA", at positions 1923 to 2593 of the family's 2925-position model. Lineage: Eukaryota; Metazoa; Chordata; Amphibia; Anura; Megophryidae. RNAcentral also lists the same sequence under 1 other name. The record is from RNAcentral.